RNAcentral lists this unclassified non-coding RNA (240 nucleotides) under soil metagenome. RNAcentral's name for it is "partial contains 5.8S ribosomal RNA, internal transcribed spacer 2, and large subunit ribosomal RNA". The record is from RNAcentral.
AACAUCGCGCACCUGCGGGAACCUGCGGAAGGAUCAUUAGAAGAAGAGAGAUCGAUCCCGACGAACGUGGGGACGAUCGAAUCCACAUAUCCACCCCGUGUGCACCUAUCGACCGUUUGCUUUGGCAGGAAAAGGAGCCUUCGAUCCGGAGGCGCCGGGAGGACACGCGUGUGCGUAAUACGCGUAGCCUCGGCCUGCCAGAGUUUUCCUCCGAACUUCGCGCCUUCUUUUUUUACUUGC